This is a long non-coding RNA of Apis cerana (Asiatic honeybee), 3271 nucleotides long. RefSeq lists it as uncharacterized. Lineage: Eukaryota; Metazoa; Arthropoda; Insecta; Hymenoptera; Apidae. The record is from RefSeq and is a predicted model, not a curated record.
GUGUCAUCGAUUGCGAUCAGAUUCGCGAUAUCAUUCAAGAAACGGAAACGACAAUUUUUCAUUUUCCGUGUUAUAUUAAUACAAUGAUAUAAAUUCGCGAUAACGUUAAUUAAGUCGAGCUAUUUCAUUUUUAACAAUUUGUCCUACUCGGAAAAACAUCGAUCUAUUUAUCAUUAAUCAUUAAUUAUUGGAAAUGAAAAGAAGGCAGACUAUGAUUCUCUGAUGAUUCUCUUUCUCAAAAAUUAAUUUUCUCGAGAACGAAGUGACGUUUCGUUUCGAGGAAUCGCUUUUCGAGAAAGAUAAGGACGGAUAAUCAAAUAUUUGAGCGUGACGAUCGUGUCAGUUUCGCGAAAAAGAUAAGAGACUAGGAUUAAACAAUACCAGGAGGGCAGAGAGAUAGGAGACGUCUAAUGACCCGGAUGAACGAGCGUUGGCACGCGCCCGCACCGAGAAUCGAGGGUAUCGCGAGUCCCGGCCUCCGGCUGCUCGCAAGAGGGUGCCUACUAGUAACUGUAGGCAGCCGACAAAAAUAGCGCCCCGAUGCCGUUGUACCUACGGAUGCAACGAGCAUUAGCAUCGACAGAACGAGAGGAGAGGGCGGGAUUCAGACGUGGCGGCCGCCCUUCGCCACGCAAAAGGGACUUUGUUCCAACGGGGGGAUCAUCGCGUCGUAGAGGAAGCUCUAUUUCCGCUCUCCACACUCCCUCGAGGCCCUCCAAUCACGCUGCCCGAUAUCACGUUCGCGUGUUAUAAAACGCGUGAAAGAAUUCUCCUCGUGUGCGGAGGAAAAAGUGAAGAAGAGGAAGAAAAAAAAAAAAAGAAAAGGAAAAAAACUCGUAUUAAAUGGAACUCACAAGAAGAUCCUUGUUUUCCAUGGAUGGGAAAUAUGGAUAGCAGGAAUUUUGAUUUUUUUUUUCAAUCUUAAUUUCCAAUGAAACAUGCGAAUAAAUAGAAGAAUCGUAUACAGAUGAAAAAGAAAAAGAAAGGAGUAAAACGAAUCCCACAAGUUUCCUCCGAUAGAAGAUAUCACGUAUAUAACGAUGGACGGAAUCACAGAAUGAAUCAAAACUUGUCAGCUGAUCGAGGCUUGAUCGAAGCUUGGUUCCUGAGAGCGAUACGCUCUGAGAAUAGAAUCUUGCAGUCGUGCUUUGAAUGAAAACAAACGGAUCGAUCGUAUGUCUUUGAUGUUUAACAACUAGUUAACGCAUAACAGGAAGGGGAACGGAUCCUAUCCUAGAGAUUAUUUCGCGUUAUCCGGCGUAAAAAAGCAAGGAGACCGGAUUCCCCUUGGAAGGACGAACGAUUUUAGCCAGCGCGGAGAAAGGUUUGUCGGCACGUCGAGAACGCGGUCCAGCUUGGAAUCUCGAAAAAAAGGACCCUUCAGCGCAUUCCCCUUUUUUCCAUGUGUACCAGCCGUGAUCGAACGUGCGGAAGCUCGCCAGUUAUGCACCUUAAAUCCGCCAACGAAAAAGAGACUGGUCGACGGUGAGAUUGCGGGACACAAAAGCUUACCGGUGUGUUUCAGCCUCGAAAUAGCAGCAGCGUCGGGACGUCGACUCUCGGGUUAUCUCUCGCGUUCCACGGAGCCACUUUCCUUCUUUCUCCUCUUCUUCGUCUUCCUCCUCCUCCUCCUCCUCCUCCUUUUCCACUCUAAUCGAAUCCCUCUAAUCGCGUUGAUCGGAAAAAAAAAUUGCCACGUCCUUCGAUUUCGUCAGAAGUGUUUAAGAGUGUUUAAUUAUUAUUAGGAUAAAUAUCAGGAACGAGAUAAACGUUGGUCGAACGUGAAUUCUCGAGCGACGAACCGUUCCACCCCCGUGACCCUCCAUUCAGAGGAACACUGAACCUGACGACGCGUUCUCAACGACUGCACCACGUUGCCCCCGUUCUAUCCGAGCCACGGCAAAGCUCUCUCGUUUGUCCAGAAGCUUUUUUUUUCUCUUCCUCGCUCGUUUCCCCACCAGCCCGGCUUUCCCCUACUAUUUCCUCGACUCGACGGGGUGGAAACCGAGGGGAUCCCCGAUCGAUCUUCCUCUCCAAACCUUAUUUCACCCGUUUUUCAUCUCCGGUUUUCGCUGAUUUUCCAAGCGAAACCUAAGUCUGUUUUAUUCGUUGAUUAAACGUGGGAUCGAAAUAAACGAAGAUUGUAUUGUAGAGAGAUACGAAUGCUGGUCGUUUAAUCUUUAAUCGAUUUUGAAGAUGAUCGAAACGUUUAUUUUAUUUAAAGAUUUAACUUUAAAUAAUGUUCGAAAUUGAAUCUUUCGAUAUCUUCAUACUUGCAUAUUUCUUUAUGUGGUGAUUUUUUAAAGAUGAUUUUUCUUUAGAUUAGAAACGAAUCGAGCUGGAAUGAAGAAGAUUGUAUUGUAAAUUGUAGUCUGAUUAUGAUGGAAGAAUUCACGCUCUCUGAGAGAUUAUGUUUCGUGAAUAGAAAUAUGAAGAAUCAUAUAUGAUGAAAAAACGAAAUGAACGAGAAUUGAUUCGAUAUAUUUAUAUUCUUAGAUUUCUAAUUUAAUCGUUAUUUUUUUCGAGUCCUUUGUCUUCUCGUGAGUUGCAUAUCCGGCGGAACUAGUGAAUAGUUUUUUCGCCUGUUUGUUUCGAAGCUUCAAAGAUUAUUAGCAUUUUUUCCUCUUCAAUGGAAAUUGUUUUGAAUAAUCGGUUAAAGAAUAAUCAAUCUUAAGCGUUUUGGCUUCUAAUUACUUCUAUUCAUUUUUAUUGUUACUAAUUAUCAAUUUAACAAAGAGUAAAAAUCUUUGGUGUCGAAAUUAAAGUGAUAAAGUGAUGCAAGUAAUAUAUAAAAUUUUUUUUAUUCGUUAUUCAUUAUCUUCAAUACGAUCUUUCAAUUUAUACCUCAUAGUAAUCAGCAAAUAUGCAUGUCGAUGAAGUUUUGUUUGUUCUUAUACACUGGACCCCAAGAGCCAUACUUGUCAUUCUUGUUCUGCGAUUGUUGAGGUCGCUGUUGGUGUGCUGACGAUGCAUUUUUGUUCUUUCUACGCAUUUAAAAUUAAAAAAAAGAAAAAAGAAGAAGAAGAAGAAGAAGAAGAAGAACGUUUAUUAUAUAUAUAGCAUAUCAAGAAGUUUAACUCUUUGCGCUAUAAUUAUUUAUUCUGAGUCAAUUCUAAUUUUAUCUUUUCUCGUUUUGAUUUAUUUUAAGUACAUAAAGUGUCAAAGAUAGUUCAAAAGUAAGGAAGAAUAAUAUUGCUGUCAUUAGAUGUGACUUUAUAGAGCAAAGGAUUAAAAUAUUUAGAACAUUAAGAUAUUUGAAAUAUAAGAAAAA